RNAcentral lists this ribosomal RNA (486 nucleotides) under uncultured bacterium. Its description in RNAcentral is "partial 16S ribosomal RNA". It matches the Rfam family "Bacterial small subunit ribosomal RNA", at positions 28 to 507 of the family's 1533-position model. The record is from RNAcentral.
GACGAACGCUGGCGGCGUGCUUAACACAUGCAAGUCGAACGCUGAAGACCUGGCUUUUGUUGGGUUGGAUGAGUGGCGAACGGGUGAGUAACACGUGAGUAACCUGCCCUCUUCUUUGGGAUAACGCCCGGAAACGGGUGCUAAUACUGGAUAUUCACUGAUCUUCGCAUGGGGGUUGGUGGAAAGGUUUGUUCUGGUGGGGGAUGGGCUCGCGGCCUAUCAGCUUGUUGGUGGGGUGAUGGCCUACCAAGGCUUUGACGGGUAGCCGGCCUGAGAGGGUGACCGGUCACAUUGGGACUGAGAUACGGCCCAGACUCCUACGGGAGGCAGCAGUGGGGAAUAGUGCACAAUGGGCGAAAGCCUGAUGCAGCGACGCCGCGUGAGGGAUGGAGGCCUUCGGGGUGUAAACCUCUUUCGCUCAUGGUCAAGCCGCAACUGUGGGUUGUGGUGAGGGUAGUGGGUAAAGAAGCGCCGGCUAACUACGUG